GUUUUCUUUUGCCUUUCUCCUUUGCCUUUUUCGUUUGCCUUUUUUUUCGUUUGCCUUUUUUGUUUGCCCUUUUCUCUCGCUUGCUUUCUGUUCACUUGUGUUGCCAUGUGCCUUCAAUAUGCUUGCACCUUUGCUUGCUGAAAAUCUAGUGAUAUUGAUCCUCAUCCACUUGCUAAUCUCCUUAAGAGAUCCAAUUAUGUUGAUCCAAUUGCUAGUGAGUUGAGUGCACUUGACUAUCUUUAUGGAGUUUUGCUUGAGAUCGUGAAUCUGAAAAUUGUGAGGAAGAA
RNAcentral lists this long non-coding RNA (287 nucleotides) under Hordeum vulgare. RNAcentral's name for it is "long non-coding RNA (HVUL_LNC003776)". The record is from RNAcentral. Lineage: Eukaryota; Viridiplantae; Streptophyta; Magnoliopsida; Poales; Poaceae.